AACGAGCGCUGGCGGCAUGCCUAACACAUGCAAGUCGAACGAGACCUUCGGGUCUAGUGGCGCACGGGUGCGUAACGCGUGGGAAUCUGCCCUUGGGUUCGGAAUAACAGUUGGAAACGACUGCUAAUACCGGAUGAUGACGUAAGUCCAAAGAUUUAUCGCCCAGGGAUGAGCCCGCGUAGGAUUAGCUAGUUGGUGGGGUAAAGGCCUACCAAGGCGACGAUCCUUAGCUGGUCUGAGAGGAUGAUCAGCCACACUGGGACUGAGACACGGCCCAGACUCCUACGGGAGGCAGCAGUGGGGAAUAUUGGACAAUGGGCGAAAGCCUGAUCAAGCAAUGCCGCGUGAGUGAUGAAGGCCUUAGGGUUGUAAAGCUCUUUUACCCGGGAUGAUAAUGACAGUACCGGGAGAAUAAGCCCCGGCUAACUCCGUG
This 433-nucleotide ribosomal RNA is filed under the name uncultured bacterium. RNAcentral's name for it is "partial 16S ribosomal RNA". It matches the Rfam family "Bacterial small subunit ribosomal RNA", at positions 29 to 507 of the family's 1533-position model. The record is from RNAcentral.